UCCCACGCGUCGUCCUCCUCCCUUCCCUUGCGACGGAAGUGAGAGACUUGCCGUAACAAACAAAUCUUUCCUCUCUCGCUCCCUUUCUUCCUCCUCCUGCUCUCGCUCCCCGUCACGGCUCACGCUGCAAUUGCAAACCCCUACGACAAAUCCUCUGCCGCAAAGAACCCCUCGACCCCGGAGCCUCUGGAUCGAGAGGCAGAGGCCGGCUGAAUCCCGGAUCCUACGGAAAGACAGGUUCCUUCCUGCUCCUCCGAGGGAGGCGGGGCCGGGGUUUGUAUGUUCUUGGCCGCACGUGAUCCGUUCUUGAUCCCGGGCUGCUCCUUUCUUUGGUUGAACCGGUUGGUUGCGUGGGUAUAACUACGCUGCCCACAGGGUCUCUCGAGAUCUCUUCUUCCGUUGUUGCUUUGUCAUGUCGGCUGGCCAUUGGAGAUAAGGUGUUUGGUGUUUGGUGGCACAGGGCGCUGGGCAGUUACCUAGCUUGGCUAGCUUCAUUGUUUCUUCUUGGUACACAGCCAGAUUUGUUGAUCUUUUGAAAGAUAAGGAUGUUUGAUUGUUGCGGUAUCUGAAGGAUAAUCACGCUGCUUGCGACAAGCCCAUUACCGAUUGUUGUUUUCUUGUUUCAUGCUUGGUCCUGCUCGGAUGGAUGUAUGGAUCUUGUUGAUGCGUAGCCGUGAAGCAUAAACCUUUGCUAAGUGGGGAUAGAUCACAUAGGAGAUUGCUAUUGUGACUUGUGGGGAUCAGUAAUUAAAUCAUGUGGAGACCGUUCAGACAGCUAAUGCCCAAAGAGCAUUCUGGGCCUUCUGGCGGCCUCGAGGGCCGAACCAUCGAUGUUGGCAAUGUAAAGGUCCAUGUCCGGGAAGCCAUCGCUGAGGGAGGGUUCUCGUUCGUGUACCUUGCCAGGGACCUUAUGAACCCGGCAAGGCAGUAUGCGCUCAAGCAUGUCAUUGUCCAGGACAGGGAGUCCCUGGACCUGGUCCAGAAGGAGAUCACGGUGAUGAGGUCACUCAAGGGGCACCCCAAUGUGGUCACGCUCGUUGCACACGCGAUACUGGAUAUGGGCCGUGCGAGGGAGGCGCUGUUGUUGAUGGAGUUUUGCGAGAGAUCACUGGUUUCCACCUUGGAGAGUAGAGGUGCAGGGUUCUUUGACGAGGAGCAGGUUGUUCUAAUCUUCCGAGAUGUUUGUAAUGCUGUCUUUGCCAUGCACUGCCAGACACCACCUAUUGCUCACAGGGACCUAAAGGCUGAAAAUUUACUUCUUGGUGCUGACGGUGCAUGGAAAUUAUGUGAUUUUGGUAGUGUCUCAACAAACCAUAAGUGCUUUGAUAAACCAGAUGAGAGGGGCAUUGAAGAAGAUAUUAUCAGAAAGCAUACCACUCCUGCAUAUAGAGCUCCUGAGAUGUGGGACUUGUACAUGAGGCAAAUUAUUAGUGAGAAAGUAGAUAUAUGGGCUCUUGGAUGUCUCUUAUAUAGAAUCUGCUACUUAAAGUCAGCUUUUGAUGGCGAAUCAAAGCUCCAGAUACUCAAUGGGAACUAUCGUAUCCCGGAAUUACCGAAGUACAGUUCUUCCAUUACAAAUCUGAUUGAAGAGAUGCUUCAGUCAUCUCCAGAUGCCAGACCGGACAUUACACAGGUAUGGUUUCGUGUUAAUGAAUUACUUCCUCUGGAGCUGCAAAAGGAUUUGCCUGUCGGAUCCCCGUCUGGAUCAGCAUUUGAAUUAAAUAUUACUGAUGAUGAAGCACUGAGUCGGCUGCCCCAGGAGAGCUCCCCUUCACCGUCAACAGACAGCAUGAAGAAUACACCCUCCAAAGAUCCUUCCAGUUUGAGGUCACAAGGGCCUUUAAAAGUUGCAGAGAAUAAGGGUUCUGUGGGUGCAUUUUGGUCGACUCAGCAUGCACAAGAACUAGCAUUUACGGAUGACAAGGGAUCUGCUCCUAGUCAAGAGCCCAUACAUGAAGCCACAUCAAAGCAACCGCAUGCAAAGAACCAGAACACACCACGUAGUACAUACAGACAAUCUCUCUCUGCAUCUGUUGACAGUUCUCCUGGGGAUUUUGAAAUUAGGUUUUCUCCGAAUGGUUCCGAAUAUGGUCUAGAGAAAACCAAAAUCACGAAAACAGACGGUAAAACCAGUGCACAGACUGACACUUCUAACUCCUUUGUGGCUGACUUCGAUAUUGUUAAAGCAAGCUCGCCUUACAAUGCCAGUUGUUUAAAUACGCCAAGUAAAUUGAAAGAACAUCAGCUGGAGACUGAAGUAACUUUACUCAAGGAGCAAUUGAAGAUAGCAAACUUGGAGAAGGAAGAGAUUUCACUGAAGUUUGAUAAAUUAUCAGCCAUUUGCUCCUCUCAGAGGCGAGAGAUACAAGAACUUAAACAAGCCCUAGCCACAGCUUCUGCAACACUGCCAGUUAAGGAGUUCAAAGAAAACUCGAAGGGGGUAGUCUCCCCACAAACUGCAAGCCUUGACACUCCGCCAAGGGAGAAGAUUGCAGGAACCCCACCAGAGCUCCGGCAAGGCCUAUUUACAUCAAGUCCAGGGACACCGAGCCCAGAUCCGAAGCCAUGGUCAGCUUUUCCUGAAGAGCCUAAAGCUCAAGCGGCUAUGAAGAGUGCCCACCCGAGGUCGGUCCGAACCCUGAGGGCAUCAAACAGUAACAAAGUCAGCUCGCUGGGACAGUCGAAAACAAACCCUGGUGCUGACCCCUUUGCCUUUGGUCAAGAUAGCUUUAAGGCUGUACCUUCUGAGAUGUCAAAUUUGGGGAAUGCGUCCCAGUCUCCGAAUACUCUGAAGGCUGAAGUAAAGAAAGAUGCACCUUACCAACCAGCUGGAUGGACUGGGUUCUAAUGUGCUACUGUGCAUAAGGAUACCACAUGUCCAAAGAGACUAUAUUCCAAUAGAAGUACAGAAAUUUGGUCCACCCACUGUAUCAUAAUCAUAUAUAUUGUCUGUUCAGAGGAAGCAAAAAUGCAAAAUGAGUUGGUAGAUAUGGUAUUGGUGAGGUGGCAUGUUGAAGAGGCCAUCCUAGGGACGCCGGAACUGAUGUAGGCUGUGUUGUAUGCUGUUGGAGAGUUGUGAGGUGAGAUGAUCCGUCCUCCCUCCACUAAUAUACACCCUAAAAUUCAGGAGAACACCCGCUUCAAUCCUUACUUCAAGGAUUGUAUUGAAGCAAUUGAUGGAACACAUGUCAUGGCUGGAGUCCUAGCAAAAAUCUCGGCCGCCUUUAGGGGUAGAAAAGAUGGUACUACCCAAAAUGUUAUGACUGCGGUAGACUUUGAUUUAAAGUUUAUCUAUGUACUUGCUGGUUGGGAGGGGUCAGCCCAUGAUGCCCUCAUACUUGCGGAUGCCGUGCAGAGGGAUGAUGGGUUGUCACUUCCUCCGGGAAAAUUCUAUCUUGUUGAUGCCAGGUAUGCCGUGAGACCGGGUUUCCUUCCACCAUAUCGUAGGACAAGGUACCACUUGAAGGAGUAUGGUGCAGGGAAUCAUCCUGAAAAUUACAAAGAAUUGUUCAACUUGAGACACUCUUUUUUAAGGAUAACAAUUGAAAGAGCUUUUGCCGCGUAUAAGAACCGGUGGAAGUUUGUGUACAAUAAGCCAUUCCAUCCUUACAAGACCCAAGUAAAAGUAGUAAUAGUUUGUGCCAUUCUUCAUAAUUGGAUCCUUCAAUUUGGGGAAGAUGAAUAUUUCCCACCGGUGGAGACAUGGGAACCCGAACCCAUCGAUGAAGAGCACCACGACAUUGCUUACGAUAAUCAAACUUGGAAAGCAAAGAGGGAUGAAUUUGCACAAGCGAUGUGGGCGAAUAGGGGGGCAGCACUCAUUUGAUGUAUCAUGUUGUACAACUUGCUGGAACUUGCUGUAUUAUAACAAUAUGGUGCUGGAAUAACUCAUUUGUGUGCUGUAAUGUGUUACUUUAGUGCUGGAACUUGCUGUAAUAUAACAAUAUGGUGCUGGAAUUACUUGUUUA
This is an RNA transcript of Brachypodium distachyon (stiff brome), 3968 nucleotides long. It is a transcript of the gene named AP2-associated protein kinase 1, with no coding region annotated. Lineage: Eukaryota; Viridiplantae; Streptophyta; Magnoliopsida; Poales; Poaceae. The transcript has 10 exons. The record is from RefSeq and is a predicted model, not a curated record.